This 483-nucleotide ribosomal RNA is filed under the name uncultured bacterium. Its description in RNAcentral is "bacterial SSU rRNA". It matches the Rfam family "Bacterial small subunit ribosomal RNA", at positions 328 to 803 of the family's 1533-position model. The record is from RNAcentral.
UAGCGGAACUCCUACGGGAGGCAGCAGUAGGGAAUCUUCCACAAUGGACGCAAGUCUGAUGGAGCAACGCCGCGUGAGUGAAGAAGGUUUUCGGAUCGUAAAGCUCUGUUGUUGGUGAAGAAGGAUAGAGGUAGUAACUGGCCUUUAUUUGACGGUAAUCAACCAGAAAGUCACGGCUAACUACGUGCCAGCAGCCGCGGUAAUACGUAGGUGGCAAGCGUUGUCCGGAUUUAUUGGGCGUAAAGCGAGCGCAGGCGGAAGAAUAAGUCUGAUGUGAAAGCCCUCGGCUUAACCGAGGAACUGCAUCGGAAACUGUUUUUCUUGAGUGCAGAAGAGGAGAGUGGAACUCCAUGUGUAGCGGUGGAAUGCGUAGAUAUAUGGAAGAACACCAGUGGCGAAGGCGGCUCUCUGGUCUGCAACUGACGCUGAGGCUCGAAAGCAUGGGUAGCGAACAGGAUUAGAAACCCUAGUAGUCCACUUAUG